AAAGUGAUUUAUUUAGUUUCAUUAUUGGAAUUUUAAAUAAUAUCAUUUACUAAAAGCCAAGACAAAUUUAUUAUAUUUAAUGUUUUGUAACUUUUUAAAUGCAAGUUAUAAAAUUUGUUUUAUCUUUGGCUUAUUUUUAGGGUGGAUACUCCAUCUUACAUCUUAUAAUGUGGUUGGAGAACACUAGGGGAGAGGCAGAGGGUGUUCCAGCCACACAUCCCAGCCAUGAAGUCAAUUAAUACAACACUUUUAAAUGCUGUAUAGUAAGAAAAUACAAUUUAAACUUUUAAACACAAAAUAUAAUCAGUGUUUUUUACAAUUUAAAUUUACAAUUUGAACUUUUUAACACAAAAUAUAAUCAGUGUUUUUUAUGUUAAAGUAUUUAUGAGAAUGGAACAAUUCACUACAAGGGUGUUAAAACGUAACAAAGACAUCGACUUUUUAAUCUAAAAUAGACCACUAAUAUUUGGAAAUGGAAUGGAAACAAAUUAGAACAAUUUUUUGUGUAUAAAGAUAAUAUAUUUUAUCAGAAAAACACUUUUUCGUGUGAAAAACUUGUAUUUUUUUAAGGGUACGAGGGUGUUCCGGUACCCCCUCCGGCCCUCUAGACACCCCUUUUAUCUAUAGAGUUAUAUGAACUUGUAGCCUACUCUUACAUCUAUCUUUUGAUACCAAGGUAUAGACAUUUGGAUAAGAUUUGACAAAGUUAUAACAAUUUUAGU
Non-coding RNA from Hydra vulgaris (swiftwater hydra), 722 nucleotides. The record is from RefSeq and is a predicted model, not a curated record. Lineage: Eukaryota; Metazoa; Cnidaria; Hydrozoa; Anthoathecata; Hydridae.